GGAGGGUGGGGAUGACGUCAAAUCAUCAUGCCCCUUAUGACCUGGGCUACACACGUGCUACAAUGGGAAGUACAACGAGUCGCUAGACCGCGAGGUCAUGCAAAUCUCUUAAAGCUUCUCUCAGUUCGGAUUGCAGGCUGCAACUCGCCUGCAUGAAGCCGGAAUCGCUAGUAAUCGCGGAUCAGCACGCCGCGGUGAAUACGUUCCCGGGCCUUGUACACACCGCCCGUCACACCACGAGAGUUUGUAACACCCGAAGUCGGUGAGGUAACCUUUUUGGAGCCAGCCGCCUAAGGUGGGAUAGAUGAUG
RNAcentral lists this ribosomal RNA (310 nucleotides) under Enterococcus sp. Egh. RNAcentral's name for it is "bacterial SSU rRNA". It matches the Rfam family "Bacterial small subunit ribosomal RNA", at positions 1168 to 1476 of the family's 1533-position model. Lineage: Bacteria; Bacillati; Bacillota; Bacilli; Lactobacillales; Enterococcaceae. The record is from RNAcentral.